RNAcentral lists this transfer RNA (92 nucleotides) under Aquifex aeolicus. RNAcentral's name for it is "tRNA-Ser". It matches the Rfam family "tRNA". Rfam says of the family: Transfer RNA (tRNA) molecules are approximately 80 nucleotides in length. Their secondary structure includes four short double-helical elements and three loops (D, anti-codon, and T loops). The record is from RNAcentral. Lineage: Bacteria; Pseudomonadati; Aquificota; Aquificia; Aquificales; Aquificaceae.
GGCGGGGUGGCGGAGCGGACGAACGCGGGGGAUUCGAAAUCCCUUGCAGGGUGAUUCAAGCCCUGCCGUGGGUUCAAAUCCCACCCCCGCCG